RNAcentral lists this ribosomal RNA (111 nucleotides) under Microtus ochrogaster (prairie vole). Lineage: Eukaryota; Metazoa; Chordata; Mammalia; Rodentia; Cricetidae. The record is from RNAcentral.
UGUCAUGGCCAUACCACUCUGAAUGCACCUGAUCUCAGAAGCUAAGCAAAGUGGGCCCGGUUCUUACUUGGACGGAUAAAAUAUACAAUUCGUGCUGGAGAGAUAUGUCAG